CAAGAGUGACCUGAUCCACCGCAGUGACAACACCAGCUCCUUAAGCUGCUAGACCACCAGAGAACUCCUAUAUGCCACAUCUUGAAGGACAUUGCCAUACCCCAAAAAGGUAUGAUUUCCAAGCUACCUUCUUAGCUACUUAUUUAAAAUGAGGUUUUUCCAGCAUGGCAUCUGGCCAGUAGUUUCCUGAUAUUGCAAUUAAUGAAAAAAAAAAUCAGUAAAUUCUUUUAUUAUCCAUCCAUUGUGGCAACUCCUUCAUUAAAAAAUAUAAGUAUAUUCCACUUCCUGUGUCUAUAAAUCAGAUAGUCUGUGAAUUCUCAGAUAGUGAUGAUACUUACAAGAGGUAUCAAUCUCAGUAAAGACAAGAUACUGCCCCCUCGAGCCUCAAAAGGCUCCAGUGUAAUCAUUAUUCUAUCAAAUGGUCUCCUUGAGAGAUGGUACAUUACUGAAGUCUCAGCAUUAGUCUCUGUUACUACAAGGUGGACAGCUACAAUAUCUAAAUCACUUACCAUAACAAAUGCAUUGAUCACUACCUCAUUAGCCAUCACAUAAGCAAUGGAAUAGCUGAGGACAGGAGCUGGCUGACAUUCAUAGAACCAGUCCAGUCUGCCUUUGCCAGUCCAGUUGAACCACAGACUGAGUGGAUUAAGCAACAGAAAACCUGAGUUCCCUGGUGACACAGCAGGUUAAGGACCUGGUAUUGUCACUGCUGUGGUAUGGAUUCAGUCCUUGGCCCAGGGACCUUCCACAUGCCAUGAGGCUGGUAUGGCCCCCCCAAAAAAAGAAACAGAAAUUGACUUUUUACAGUUCCAAAGUCUGGAAGCCUGAGAUUAGGGUACCAGCAUGACCAGGCUGAGGGCUCUCUUUGUGGUUUAUAGACAGCCACCUUCUCACUGUGUCCUCAUGUAAGGAAGAGAGUGCUUUGGUGCCUCUUCCUCUUCUUUUAAGGGUACCAUUUUUAUAAGCUCUGUCCUUAUGACUUCAUUUAACCUGAAUCCUUCCUCACCAGUCCCAGACCCAAUUCAUUCACUCGGGGGAGGGGAGGAAGGGCAUCCAUGUAUUAAUAUGGGAACUAAUUAGCUGGGAGAUGCAAUUUCAUAGGCUCUGACUUGGCCUUUCCAGUUAUAACAGUGCUUACGCCAGAGGUCGGGGAACCAAUGCGAAGGUUCUGCCAUUGCUGAUUAUAUUUAUCCAGUUAGGCAUUUAGGGGCCAGAGAAAUGACCGCUGGAUUUAAAAAAUAUAUAUAUAUUCACUGUGAGAUGGGCUUGGAUCAGUCCCCCACUUAGCAUCUCGUUUCCAUAAACCCCACUCUAUUGUGGAGGCCUUGAUGGCACUUUGGUGUCAAUUUCAGCUCAGAACAAGUAUCCAAUAGUCCUCAAAAAUAAGUAGCUCCUCGUUUAUCAAAUACGGCUCUUCUGGUAAGAGGCCUUAAGUCCCUUUGGAGAAACACUGAGGAACUAUGUAAACGCAUGCUGUGGUGUUGCAGGGUCCUCCUGAAGGAGACUCCGUCUCUUUUCAAUCAGUAAGCUCUGCUUCUGAGAACGAACUCUGGUCUGAAAACUAGGUGAGAAAUUGUGUUUUCCCAUUAUAUUUGCCAACAUCAGCCUUCUGCUUAUUCAAUCUUGAACGUUUUGUGUAGAUGAGUUAAACAAUUGUGUACUGCCUUUCCACUGAUUCCAUUCUUUUCUCCUAAGAACACCGUGGUCUAUUAGCCAUCACCAAACAGCUCUGUGGGCCCAAGUCCCUAGGCUACAAUUUGGCCUUGCUGCCAGUUACUUUGAUGCUGAUUCCCUUGCCUCCAACAGUGAGGUGCCUAUACCAGGUGUCUGCUAGUCCAGAAUCCUAUAAAUCCCUGGAUCCAAGGGAAUCCAGAUCCAUUGCAGCAUUUUCUACUCAGCCCUGACUUGGAAUGACAGUCACCAGUGAAUUUGACAAUUCCAGUGGCCCCUUCAUUAUACAUUUUUUUUUUUUAACUAUUUUACUGAAGCGUA
This 1992-nucleotide long non-coding RNA is filed under the name Sus scrofa (pig). RNAcentral describes it as "lncRNA (ENSSSCG00005039967.1)". Lineage: Eukaryota; Metazoa; Chordata; Mammalia; Artiodactyla; Suidae. The record is from RNAcentral.